Molecule: non-coding RNA, 126 nt
Filed under: Octodon degus (degu)
Lineage: Eukaryota; Metazoa; Chordata; Mammalia; Rodentia; Octodontidae
Source: RNAcentral
AAAAUAAAAAAAAAAGGAGAAGGUUAGCACUCCCCUUGAUAAGGAUGGAAGAGGCCCUUGGGCCUGACAACACGCAUAUAAUUAAGGCAUUGCCACCUACUUCCUGGCAUCUAACCACUGUUUUUU